GAGUUUGUCCUGGCUCAGAUUGAACGCUGGCGGCAGGCCUAACACAUGCAAGUCGAGCGGUAGAGAGAAGCUUGCUUCUCUUGAGAGCGGCGGACGGGUGAGUAAUGCCUAGGAAUCUGCCUGGUAGUGGGGGAUAACGCUCGGAAACGGACGCUAAUACCGCAUACGUCCUACGGGAGAAAGCAGGGGACCUUCGGGCCUUGCGCUAUCAGAUGAGCCUAGGUCGGAUUAGCUAGUUGGUGAGGUAAUGGCUCACCAAGGCGACGAUCCGUAACUGGUCUGAGAGGAUGAUCAGUCACACUGGAACUGAGACACGGUCCAGACUCCUACGGGAGGCAGCAGUGGGGAAUAUUGGACAAUGGGCGAAAGCCUGAUCCAGCCAUGCCGCGUGUGUGAAGAAGGUCUUCGGAUUGUAAAGCACUUUAAGUUGGGAGGAAGGGCAGUAAAUUAAUACUUUGCUGUUUUGACGUUUACGACAGAAUAAGCACCGGCUAACUCUGUGCCAGCCGCCGACCG
Molecule: ribosomal RNA, 516 nt
Filed under: uncultured bacterium
Lineage: Bacteria
Description: bacterial SSU rRNA
Rfam family: Bacterial small subunit ribosomal RNA
Source: RNAcentral